UUGCCUACGGGACGCAGCAGUGAGGAAUAUUGGUCAAUGGGCGAGAGCCUGAACCAGCCAAGUCGCGUGAGGGAAGACGGUCCUAUGGAUUGUAAACCUCUUUUGCCGGGGAGCAAAAAGCGGUACGUGUACCGCAUCGAGAGUACCCGGAGAAAAAGCAUCGGCUAACUCCGUGCCAGCAGCCGCGGUAAUACGGAGGAUGCGAGCGUUAUCCGGAUUUAUUGGGUUUAAAGGGUGCGUAGGCGGUCCGGAAAGUCAGCGGUAAAAGCCCGGGGCUCAACCCCGGCGAGCCGUUGAAACUGUCG
This 305-nucleotide ribosomal RNA is filed under the name uncultured bacterium. RNAcentral describes it as "bacterial SSU rRNA". It matches the Rfam family "Bacterial small subunit ribosomal RNA", at positions 335 to 638 of the family's 1533-position model. The record is from RNAcentral.